This is a long non-coding RNA of Drosophila nasuta, 767 nucleotides long. RefSeq lists it as uncharacterized. The record is from RefSeq and is a predicted model, not a curated record. Lineage: Eukaryota; Metazoa; Arthropoda; Insecta; Diptera; Drosophilidae. The transcript has 3 exons.
UCAUCCAGUUGAAUCGAACCCUAAUCCGAAUCCGAAUCGAAUGACUAAAGAUAAUAGUCGCCCAUAAGAAGAAUGAACUGAAGAUGUUGCUGCUGUCAUAAAUGACUAUGAGCAUCGUCGAUUAGAAGAAUGUACUGAAGAUGACUAUUCGUUUCUUACUUCCGUCGAACUGGGGUUACACUAUAAAUCAGCAUUUCGGCUAUGAUGGCGAUUGCAAACGCUUUCAGUCUCGUGGAUCGGUGUUAGUGUCGGAAUUCAGGCUGCGAAAGCCGCCCUGAUCACUCGAUGAUGUACCGUGAAUGCCCAUGGUGCCCUGCAUCUGGAGUAGGAUUUCGUUUCCUCUAAAUUAUUGAGUUUUUCCCGGACAAGCAUCAUCCAGUUGAAUCGAACCCUAAUCCGAAUCAGCAUCAAUAGAACCAAUAAAUUGGUUUCUCAUGGAGUCUUUUCGUAAAGAGUCGGGAAAAGACACUUAUUUGCAGACAACGAGAAACGGUCAACAGUUAUUUGCGAGCUCUGAUUUUGAUUUGAAUAGAAAUUGAGCUUAAUCAGAAAGAGCUAUUCUUCGAGCUGUAAUCUGUUAGAUCAGAUGCUUACCAAGCCUGUGCCGUCGCGCUUUUAAUUCUAGCCCAAGCCUCAUCAGAGCUCUGGGAGAAUGGUCAGCUUUUAAAUCGCGUAUAAGUUUUCUUAAAAUUUUGUGAACUCCAGAUGGUAGAUUUGGCAUUGUUCUUAACAAGAAUUGGCAAGCAUCGAAAAUAGCAUCAAACACA